Molecule: ribosomal RNA, 455 nt
Filed under: uncultured Cryptanaerobacter sp.
Lineage: Bacteria; Bacillati; Bacillota; Clostridia; Eubacteriales; Desulfotomaculaceae
Description: bacterial SSU rRNA
Rfam family: Bacterial small subunit ribosomal RNA
Source: RNAcentral
GGUGGAGCAUGUGUUUAAUUCGACGCAACGCGAAGAACCUUACCAGGGCUUGACAUCCUCUGACCGCAUAUGAAAGUAUGUUUUCUGGCUUCGGUCAGACAGAGAGACAGGUGGUGCAUGGUUGUCGUCAGCUCGUGUCGUGAGAUGUUGGGUUAAGUCCCGCAACGAGCGCAACCCCUACGUUUAGUUGCUAACGUGUAACGAUGAGCACUCUAGGCGGACUGUCGUUGACAAAACGGAGGAAGGUGGGAUGACGUCAAAUCAUCAUGCCCCUUAUGUUCUGGGCUACACACGUGCUACAAUGGCCGGUACAAAGGGACGCAAAGCCGCGAGGUGGAGCAAAUCCGAUAAAAGCCGGUCUCAGUUCGGAUUGCAGGCUGCAAUUCGCCUGCAUGAAGUCGGAAUCGCUAGUAAUCGCAGGUCAGCAUACUGCGGUGAAUACGUUCCCGGGCCUU